RNAcentral lists this long non-coding RNA (1187 nucleotides) under Triticum aestivum (bread wheat). RNAcentral's name for it is "long non-coding RNA (TAES_LNC020234)". Lineage: Eukaryota; Viridiplantae; Streptophyta; Magnoliopsida; Poales; Poaceae. The record is from RNAcentral.
UCAAUUUGUUCAUGAAAAUGAUGAUCUACACUCAGGUGUUGGAGUGUGUCUACAAGGUUCAGUUGCUCAACUAUGGUACUGCAGGAAAAUAACCCAAUUAUUCUCUCCUUCAGUUGAUUGGACCUCUCUGUCAUCCUUUCCUCUGACAUCUACAUGGCAUUACCAAAAUAUAUGUUAUGCAGUGUUAAAUGAAACCAUGUCCAUGGUGACAUUUAUUUAACCAUGUGACAAGAGAAGAAAAUAAUAGCGCUAGAAGGCAAGAUUGUUCUUGGUUAAAGUUGCAACCAUUAGCUGUUACUAUUGUAUUUACAUAAUCGUUUAGCUAUUCUGCAAACAGGCAAAACAGACCAUGCCAUGUUUAAAUAUAAAUAGAAACUGCUAAGGGAAACAAGAAAAGAAAAACAUGAGAUGAUAGUUCCAAGUUACUUCUAACAUCAAAAUAUGCAGAAGAGGUGUCAUUAAAGACUAUUUGUGCUGAAUAUGUUUUUUUUUCAUACAUUCCAAAUGUGAUUGAAUGCAAUCUUGAAGAUUUAUUGGUUUAUCGAAUGUCAUGGGUCAUCUUGUUUCCUAUUCAUUGGAAGCUACAUAAAUCAUCCCUAUAUUAAGAUGAAGUAAGAAAGCAUCAGUCGCUCUUAUUUUCUUUCUUCUAUGAAAGAUCGUAGCUCGCUCUUUCAACCCUUGUCCCCCUCUGGGAACUGUUUGAGUUUUGACAUCGACCGCAUUUCCUUUUGAUCGUAUUACGCUUGACUCCUCUACAGAGUGUACACGUAGAGGGUAGUUCCCAAAUUAUUUUACUAUUUAUGAAAUCACUUAAUAACAGUUCUGUGUUUUUCAAGUGUUUGGAAACAAAACUAAUAGGAAGAUACCAAUCAGGCGUGGCUAGUUGUAUGAAAAUGGUAUUGUACUAAUCUCAGUUUCUGUGUGCAGCUAGGCGAACCAACAAAGCUGAAAGCCAACAAACAGAAUCCAGGCAUAUCUCAACAAGGGCUCCAGACCAGGUAAUUACUUUAGGUCGGACCAUGAAACAACUGGGAUUCGGCACAUAAAACUGAAUGAAAAACAUGCAGAGACUGAAAACAUGUACUGCUCCCAGAUGCUGUUGUUACUGCUGUAACAAUAUGGAGCAUGCCUGAAACGGUUCUGGACUGUAGUUGAUGAAGAAGUCGCCCCACACCGUGGGAAGAAAC